GACGAACGCUGGCGGCGUGCUUAACACAUGCAAGUCGAGCGAGGCUUCCUUCUUCGGAAGGGAUGUCCUAGCGGCGAACGGGUGAGUAACACGUGGGCAACCUGCCCCUAGCACUGGGAUAACCCCGGGAAACCGGGGCUAAUACCGGAUACGACCUCAACGGGCAUCUGUCGAGGUGGAAAAGGUUUACUGGCUAGGGAUGGGCCCGCGGCCUAUCAGCUUGUUGGUGGGGUAACGGCCUACCAAGGCGACGACGGGUAGCCGGCCUGAGAGGGCGACCGGCCACACUGGGACUGAGACACGGCCCAGACUCCUACGGGAGGCAGCAGUGGGGAAUAUUGCACAAUGGGCGAAAGCCUGAUGCAGCGACGCCGCGUGAGGGAUGACGGCCUUCGGGUUGUAAACCUCUUUCAGCUCCGACGAAGCGAAAGUGACGGUAGGAGCAGAAGAAGCACCGGCCAACUACGUGCCAGCCGCCGCCGUAACAC
RNAcentral lists this ribosomal RNA (488 nucleotides) under uncultured bacterium. Its description in RNAcentral is "bacterial SSU rRNA". It matches the Rfam family "Bacterial small subunit ribosomal RNA", at positions 28 to 526 of the family's 1533-position model. The record is from RNAcentral.